AAGUCGAGCGGAAAGGCCCCUUCGGGGGUACUCGAGCGGCGAACGGGUGAGUAACACGUGAGCAACCUGCCCCUGACUCUGGGAUAAGCCCGGGAAACUGGGUCUAAUACCGGAUAUGACGCAUUCUCGCAUGGGAUGUGUGUGGAAAGUUUUUCGGUUGGGGAUGGGCUCGCGGCCUAUCAGCUUGUUGGUGGGGUGAUGGCCUACCAAGGCGACGACGGGUAACCGGCCUGAGAGGGCGACCGGUCACACUGGGACUGAGACACGGCCCAGACUCCUACGGGAGGCAGCAGUGGGGAAUAUUGCGCAAUGGGCGGAAGCCUGACGCAGCGACGCCGCGUGGGGGAUGACGGCCUUCGGGUUGUAAACCUCUUUCAGCAGGGACGAAGCUAACGUGACGGUACCUGCAGAAGAAGCGCCGGCUAACUACGUGCCAGCAGCCGCGGGUAAAAUUCA
RNAcentral lists this ribosomal RNA (456 nucleotides) under Actinomadura sp. XM-24-1. RNAcentral's name for it is "bacterial SSU rRNA". It matches the Rfam family "Bacterial small subunit ribosomal RNA", at positions 59 to 529 of the family's 1533-position model. The record is from RNAcentral. Lineage: Bacteria; Bacillati; Actinomycetota; Actinomycetes; Streptosporangiales; Thermomonosporaceae.